Molecule: ribosomal RNA, 2151 nt
Filed under: Salmonella enterica subsp. enterica serovar Hadar
Lineage: Bacteria; Pseudomonadati; Pseudomonadota; Gammaproteobacteria; Enterobacterales; Enterobacteriaceae
Description: bacterial LSU rRNA
Rfam family: Bacterial large subunit ribosomal RNA
Source: RNAcentral
GGGCGUUAAGUUGCAGGGUAUAGACCCGAAACCCGGUGAUCUAGCCAUGGGCAGGUUGAAGGUUGGGUAACACUAACUGGAGGACCGAACCGACUAAUGUUGAAAAAUUAGCGGAUGACCUGUGGCUGGGGGUGAAAGGCCAAUCAAACCGGGAGAUAGCUGGUUCUCCCCGAAAGCUAUUUAGGUAGCGCCUCGUGAAUUCAUCUCCGGGGGUAGAGCACUGUUUCGGCUAGGGGGCCAUCCCGGCUUACCAACCCGAUGCAAACUGCGAAUACCGGAGAAUGUUAUCACGGGAGACACACGGCGGGUGCUAACGUCCGUCGUGAAGAGGGAAACAACCCAGACCGCCAGCUAAGGUCCCAAAGUCAUGGUUAAGUGGGAAACGAUGUGGGAAGGCCCAGACAGCCAGGAUGUUGGCUUAGAAGCAGCCAUCAUUUAAAGAAAGCGUAAUAGCUCACUGGUCGAGUCGGCCUGCGCGGAAGAUGUAACGGGGCUAAACCAUGCACCGAAGCUGCGGCAGCGACGCUGAUGCGUUGUUGGGUAGGGGAGCGUUCUGUAAGCCUGUGAAGGUGUGUCGUGAGGCAUGCUGGAGGUAUCAGAAGUGCGAAUGCUGACAUAAGUAACGAUAAAGCGGGUGAAAAGCCCGCUCGCCGGAAGACCAAGGGUUCCUGUCCAACGUUAAUCGGGGCAGGGUGAGUCGACCCCUAAGGCGAGGCCGAAAGGCGUAGUCGAUGGGAAACGGGUUAAUAUUCCCGUACUUGGUGUUACUGCGAAGGGGGGACGGAGAAGGCUAUGUUGGCCGGGCGACGGUUGUCCCGGUUUAAGCGUGUAGGCUGGUUUUCCAGGCAAAUCCGGAAAAUCAAGGCUGAGGCGUGACGACGAGGCACUACGGUGCUGAAGCAACAAAUGCCCUGCUUCCAGGAAAAGCCUCUAAGCAUCAGGUAACAUCAAAUCGUACCCCAAACCGACACAGGUGGUCAGGUAGAGAAUACCAAGGCGCUUGAGAGAACUCGGGUGAAGGAACUAGGCAAAAUGGUGCCGUAACUUCGGGAGAAGGCACGCUGACACGUAGGUGAAGUGAUUUACUCAUGGAGCUGAAGUCAGUCGAAGAUACCAGCUGGCUGCAACUGUUUAUUAAAAACACAGCACUGUGCAAACACGAAAGUGGACGUAUACGGUGUGACGCCUGCCCGGUGCCGGAAGGUUAAUUGAUGGGGUCAGCGCAAGCGAAGCUCCUGAUCGAAGCCCCGGUAAACGGCGGCCGUAACUAUAACGGUCCUAAGGUAGCGAAAUUCCUUGUCGGGUAAGUUCCGACCUGCACGAAUGGCGUAAUGAUGGCCAGGCUGUCUCCACCCGAGACUCAGUGAAAUUGAACUCGCUGUGAAGAUGCAGUGUACCCGCGGCAAGACGGAAAGACCCCGUGAACCUUUACUAUAGCUUGACACUGAACAUUGAGCCUUGAUGUGUAGGAUAGGUGGGAGGCUUUGAAGUGUGGACGCCAGUCUGCAUGGAGCCGACCUUGAAAUACCACCCUUUAAUGUUUGAUGUUCUAACGUGGACCCGUUACCCGGGUUGCGGACAGUGUCUGGUGGGUAGUUUGACUGGGGCGGUCUCCUCCUAAAGAGUAACGGAGGAGCACGAAGGUUGGCUAAUCCUGGUCGGACAUCAGGAGGUUAGUGCAAUGGCAUAAGCCAGCUUGACUGCGAGCGUGACGGCGCGAGCAGGUGCGAAAGCAGGUCAUAGUGAUCCGGUGGUUCUGAAUGGAAGGGCCAUCGCUCAACGGAUAAAAGGUACUCCGGGGAUAACAGGCUGAUACCGCCCAAGAGUUCAUAUCGACGGCGGUGUUUGGCACCUCGAUGUCGGCUCAUCACAUCCUGGGGCUGAAGUAGGUCCCAAGGGUAUGGCUGUUCGCCAUUUAAAGUGGUACGCGAGCUGGGUUUAGAACGUCGUGAGACAGUUCGGUCCCUAUCUGCCGUGGGCGCUGGAGAACUGAGGGGGGCUGCUCCUAGUACGAGAGGACCGGAGUGGACGCAUCACUGGUGUUCGGGUUGUCAUGCCAAUGGCACUGCCCGGUAGCUAAAUGCGGAAGAGAUAAGUGCUGAAAGCAUCUAAGCACGAAACUUGCCCCGAGAUGAGUUCUCCCUGAGACUU